This 1674-nucleotide long non-coding RNA is filed under the name Durio zibethinus. Its description in RNAcentral is "long non-coding RNA (DZIB_LNC001035)". The record is from RNAcentral. Lineage: Eukaryota; Viridiplantae; Streptophyta; Magnoliopsida; Malvales; Malvaceae.
UCUUAUUCAAUGUGUCAAUUUGAAAUCAUAUGUUUCUUUCUUUGUUUUUACUUUUUGUCAACUUUUUUAAUUUUUAAUUUAAAUAAAUUUGUAAAAACAAAACCCAAUUGAAAAUUUUUAUUUUUUAUUUUUUAAAUCAAGUUCGAAUUAAAUCGGAUUAAGUUUUUUUAUGAGAAAUGAGACCGAGACAAAAGCAUAUUUAAAAUAAUUUGACCUUACUUAUUUUGGGUAUAUAUACAAAUAUAUAUUUUAUUAAUAAUUUAAUUUUAUAUUUAUAUAUAAAUAUAAAUUUAAACUUAAUUUAAAAAAUUAAUAUUUAAAACUCGAUAUGUUUUAUAUGGUACUUUCCAUGUGCUAUUUUUAUUUAUUUUUUUUCAAUUUUUUAAGUUUUUAAAAAUUAUUCAUUAAAUAAAUUUAAUAAGAAUAUGAGACUGAGAUUUCCCUAGUGUCAUCUCCAUUUGAGUUUUUUUUUAAUAUUUUAUUUUUUUAAUUAAAUAAAUUUUAUAAACAAAAUUCCAAUUGAUAUGGAUGACAAAAAUUUUUUUGAUCCAAAUAAUUAAAGCUCUAUUCCAAGGAGAGAGAGCGAGGGCAACAUAAAUUGAUCAUAUUUUUAUGAUUAAUUUAAGAGAACAAAUAGGAAAUCAACUAUUUAAUCAUUAAAUUAAUUACUUUUAUUAUAUUUGGAUCCGUUAAAAUUUUUUUUUUCAAGUUUAUGAUAUAUUUAUAUUUAAUAUUUAUAUCUUUUUAAAUAUUUCAUACUUAUAUUUAAAGUAAAAUACGUCAAUGAAACUGUAACAUUCGAAAAUUAGUAAUUAUAAAUUAAAAAACUAAUGUAAAAAAACAUUUACUUAAAUUUAAAUGAUUAAAUUUAAAAAGUUAAUAAUUAAAAAACAAAAUUCAGUCAAAUCGAGUUGGAAAUGAAGAUAUGAACUCAGCUUUGCUUAAUUAUUAUACCAAUGAACUUGAAAUGAUAUUAGCGACGUUUCCAAAACUUCGAGUAGGAUACAUAUUCCUCUGACGCUCGUCCUUUCUCCACCGUGGUUACAUCUACAAAGAAACAAAGCCAUUAACUCCGUAGUUUGAUUAGUUUGACGCAGGUAGGUUACAAUAACUUUCAACAAUCGUUAUUUUACAAACACACAAAUUUACUUCUAUUUCAUCAAAAUUGGUAGUAAAAGAAAUUCUCCAAAAUAAAGCAUGAAAUAAAAAAUGCAUUUAUUUUCCGAUCAACAAAAGAGAGAAAAGUUUCUGUUUCUUAGAGAAUUUUCGCUCAAAAACCGUAAACUUCAAUUCAUGACGUUAAUUUGAAGGACACCGAAUAGAUCUAAACAUCGGAACUGGAUUGCAAAAAAACAAAAUAUAAAAUGCAAAUAAAAGAAUCAUUCAAUCUUAUAUUUCAAAAUACAAAUACGAAUCCUUCAAUUUUAAUAGUGUUCGAUUUUUAAAACAAACCUAUAUUUGAAAGAAAGGAAGAAGUGUCAGAAAUCUCGUGUGGAAAGUGCCGCUCAUAGCACCGAUGAUGGUGCUGCGUUUGCACGGACAUACGUUUUUCAUCAUUCUCUUUUCUUCCUUUUAAGUUUUGAAACAAAUUCAUAUACUAUCAGUAAAAACAAGGAACCAAAAAACCGACGCUUCAGAGAAAUCCUGGAAAAAAAGAAAUUCAUUACUUUCUCC